This 27-nucleotide small RNA is filed under the name Bombyx mori (domestic silkworm). RNAcentral's name for it is "ovarian small RNA-32438". The record is from RNAcentral. Lineage: Eukaryota; Metazoa; Arthropoda; Insecta; Lepidoptera; Bombycidae.
UGAUAGCUUCAUAUCUUUCAGGCAAUU